GGGACUGUAACUUAGAGGAUUAAAGCACGUGGCUAUGAAUCAUGAUGUCGAGAGUUCAAAUUCCUCCUCGCCCA
Gossypium raimondii (Peruvian cotton) is the source of this 74-nucleotide non-coding RNA. The record is from Rfam. NCBI's taxonomy places the organism in Eukaryota, Viridiplantae, Streptophyta, Magnoliopsida, Malvales, Malvaceae.